ACAAAAUAUGUAAAUUACCUUCGACUCUCUCUGCAGUGUGCAUGUUAAUCUUCAUAAUACGUCAACAAAAUUUAUGUUGGUUUAAAGAAAAUGAAUACAAGCGUUUCAAUCUUAAUAUCUUAUCUUGGAAAGAAUGAAAAUAAAUUUCGGCUUUAUGGUAGCUCAUUCUCUGCUUGCCGUAGGUCUCACUAACCUCAUUACAAGUGUAUCUCUGAUUCAAUACAAAUUCAGAGAGUUGAUGUCACUAUGGAAAAUAUUUGUAUUAGUGUAUUGGAUUGGUGUUAUUAAUGUUGUUGAAGUUUUUAUUUUGAUGUGUAUAUUUACGGAGGUUGGCUGUCUAGAAAUGAAACGCGGUUUUCUGAAUGGUCAGACUAAAGUUGAAGCAUUUGAAGAACAAGUCAGUGGAUUUGUAUAAUGAGAUGGUUGAAUUAAUGGGGGAUGAACCUGCUAUGGGCACUAAGGAAACUACCAUUAGAAUGAUGACCGAAGAUAAUGAAUCUUUGACCCCUGCAUUAUUUAACUUGGAUGAUUUUGAUGAUGACGAACAUGAUAAAAGUUCAUAUACGUCAGUAGGAGGAACUACAUAUGCAUGGGGAAUGGGUAAAGGAAUUAUUUUUGGCUCAUAUACGUCAGCACCAGGAGGAAUGGAUAGAGCUAAAUCAGGUGAUAAGCGUUCCUCGUCAAGCCAACCAGGUAACAAUCUUUAACAUCUUAAGAAACAGUCGUUGAUGGUGGUUUUUAGUUCAAGGGCUAAAAUCGUAAAUCCUGUAUUUAAUGCUCUGUCAUCCUGCAAAGGAACAGAAGCCAUUUAAAAGCAAUGAGUGCUUAAGCCUCUUCGCUCACAUA
Molecule: RNA transcript, 846 nt
Organism: Papaver somniferum (opium poppy)
Lineage: Eukaryota; Viridiplantae; Streptophyta; Magnoliopsida; Ranunculales; Papaveraceae
Exons: 2
Source: RefSeq, a predicted model, not a curated record